Molecule: long non-coding RNA, 281 nt
Filed under: Mytilus galloprovincialis (Mediterranean mussel)
Lineage: Eukaryota; Metazoa; Mollusca; Bivalvia; Mytilida; Mytilidae
Source: RNAcentral
GUGGUAUACAAGAAUUUUAAGCUAUGAUUUCUUUCGGCAUGAGCAAGUCUGGCAUGAUCAGAGUCAGAAUAAUGUGUCCCGAGUAAGGUUAUUUGUGUCUUCCUUCGGACUUUUACCUUGUGAACUAGCACGUUAAAAAUCCGGCUCGUCGGCGGUCUUGAAAUUAACAGGAUUCAUACUUCUAUCUCAUUACCAUGUUCUCGUCCCGAUAUGCAUGUAAUAUUUCCCACUGGACGUUAAACACCAAUCCGUCAUCAUCUUCUAUUGAAUGGAAUUAAAAU